UAGGGAAUAUUGGACAAUGGGUGCAAGCCUGAUCCAGCCAUGCCGCGUGCAGGAAGAAGGCUUUCUGAGUUGUAAACUGCUUUUGCCAGGGGAUAAAAUAACCAUGCGUGGUUGAUUGAAGGUACCUGGUGAAUAAGCCACGGCUAACUACGUGCCAGCAGCCGCGGUAAUACGUAGGUGGCAAGCGUUGUCCGGAUUUAUUGGGUUUAAAGGGUGCGUAGGCGGUCUUUUAAGUCAGUGGUGAAAUACUUCAGCUCAACUGGAGAGGUGCCAUUGAUACUGGGAGACUUGAGUACUGAUGAGGUAGGCGGAAUGGACGGUGUAGCGGUGAAAUGCUUAGAUAUCGUCCAGAACACCGAUAGCGAAGGCAGCUUACUAAGGAGUAACUGACGCUGAGGCACGAAAGUGUGGGGAUCAAACAG
This 422-nucleotide ribosomal RNA is filed under the name uncultured bacterium. RNAcentral describes it as "bacterial SSU rRNA". It matches the Rfam family "Bacterial small subunit ribosomal RNA", at positions 355 to 775 of the family's 1533-position model. The record is from RNAcentral.